AUUGAACGCUGGCGGCAUGCUUUACACAUGCAAGUCGAACGGUAACAGGUUAAGCUGACGAGUGGCGAACGGGUGAGUAAUGCAUCGGAACGUGCCCGGUCGUGGGGGAUAACGCAGCGAAAGCUGCGCUAAUACCGCAUACGAUCUGAGGAUGAAAGCGGGGGACCGUAAGGCCUCGCGCGAUCGGAGCGGCCGAUGUCAGAUUAGGUAGUUGGUGGGGUAAAGGCUCACCAAGCCGACGAUCUGUAGCUGGUCUGAGAGGACGACCAGCCACACUGGGACUGAGACACGGCCCAGACUCCUACGGGAGGCAGCAGUGGGGAAUUUUGGACAAUGGGCGCAAGCCUGAUCCAGCAAUGCCGCGUGCAGGAAGAAGGCCCUCGGGUUGUAAACUGCUUUUGUACGGAGCGAAAAGGCUCUCUCUAAUACAGGGGGGCUCAUGACGGUACCGUAAGAAUAAGCACCGGCUAACUACGUGCCAGCAGCCGCGGUAA
Molecule: ribosomal RNA, 494 nt
Filed under: uncultured bacterium
Lineage: Bacteria
Description: partial 16S ribosomal RNA
Rfam family: Bacterial small subunit ribosomal RNA
Source: RNAcentral